RNAcentral lists this ribosomal RNA (351 nucleotides) under Physarum notabile. Its description in RNAcentral is "bacterial SSU rRNA". It matches the Rfam family "Eukaryotic small subunit ribosomal RNA", at positions 80 to 350 of the family's 1831-position model. Lineage: Eukaryota; Evosea; Eumycetozoa; Physariida; Physaraceae. The record is from RNAcentral.
UCUGAAUCUGCGAACGGCUCCGCAAACCAGUUGUAAACUAUAGCAAGCAAGCACCCCGGGCUCGCUCACGCGGGUCGCAGGGGGGCUAAUAGGGAUAACCCUGGUAAUUCUGAGGCUAAUACAAGAACGUAAGACCUGACCGACUGGGAAACUGGGAGGUUGGGAGUCGCGUGAGGCAUCAUGCAAACUUACAACGGGAAUGGGUGCGCGACUCGACCACCAUACCAAACGGUUCUCGCAAACGGGUAGCUUUCCUUCGGGGGGGUUGCUGCAGUAGGCUUGAUCCGGGUGGCUCUUGCUGUGUGCUUCUGACCUAUCAACUAGAUGGCAGCGUAACGGACAUGCUAUGGU